Molecule: ribosomal RNA, 487 nt
Filed under: uncultured Gammaproteobacteria bacterium
Lineage: Bacteria; Pseudomonadati; Pseudomonadota; Gammaproteobacteria
Description: bacterial SSU rRNA
Rfam family: Bacterial small subunit ribosomal RNA
Source: RNAcentral
AUUGAHCGCUGGCGGCAGGCCUAACACAUGCAAGUCGAGCGGUAGAGAGAAGCUUGCUUCUCUUGAGAGCGGCGGACGGGUGAGUAAUGCCUAGGAAUCUGCCUGGUAGUGGGGGAUAACGCUCGGAAACGGACGCUAAUACCGCAUACGUYCCUWACGGGAGGAAGGGGGCUUUUCGGAGCCCUCGCUGACAGAUGAGCCUAGGUCAGAUUAGCUAGUUGGUAGGGUAAAGGCCUACCAAGGCGACGAUCUGUAGCGGGUCUGAGAGGAUGAUCCGCCACACUGGAACUGAGACACGGUCCAGACUCCUACGGGAGGCAGCAGUGGGGAAUAUUGGACAAUGGGCGAAAGCUGAAUCCAGCCAUGCCGCGUGUGUGAAGAAGGCCUUUUGGUUGUAAAGCACUUUAAGCGGGGAGGAGGGCACCACGGUUAAUACCCGUGAAUGUCGGACGUUACCCGCAGAAUAAGCAACCGGCUAACUCUGUGC